CUCGUCUCUUUCUUCCUCUCUAACAUCAUCAAUGGCGUCUCCUUAAACAUCAAAAAUGGAAAAAGAUUCAAUCUUUAUCCACGUGAAAUCAAAUUAUCUUCUCUCCCUCUUUUGCUCUCUAAACAAAUGCCAAGCGUAAUUGCCAAACUCUAUAGCGUUUUCUUCAAAUAUCACCAAAAGCACCUUCUGCAGAGCCUGUCACAACCUCCUUUCAGCGAUAAAGCGGGCCCUUUUGGCUUAACCUCUCGGCCCCAUGAAUCUAUUGCCCCCAGCAAUCCUUUAUUCACUGACGGUGUCGCCACCAAGGACAUCCACGUCGACCCCUUUUCUUCUCUCUCUCU
Molecule: unclassified non-coding RNA, 341 nt
Filed under: Hevea brasiliensis (rubber tree)
Lineage: Eukaryota; Viridiplantae; Streptophyta; Magnoliopsida; Malpighiales; Euphorbiaceae
Source: RNAcentral